This 253-nucleotide ribosomal RNA is filed under the name uncultured bacterium. RNAcentral's name for it is "partial 16S ribosomal RNA". It matches the Rfam family "Bacterial small subunit ribosomal RNA", at positions 524 to 776 of the family's 1533-position model. The record is from RNAcentral.
UACGUAGGGUGCGAGCGUUAUUCGGAAUUACUGGGCGUAAAGCGUGCGCAGGCGGCUAUGCAAGACAGAUGUGAAAUCCCCGGGCUCAACCUGGGAACUGCAUUUGUGACUGCAUGGCUAGAGUACGGUAGAGGGGGAUGGAAUUCCGCGUGUAGCAGUGAAAUGCGUAGAUAUGCGGAGGAACACCGAUGGCGAAGGCAAUCCCCUGGACCUGUACUGACGCUCAUGCACGAAAGCGUGGGGAGCAAACAGG